AUUCCCUGGGGCGGCGUGGAAGGGAGGCAGCACCUCCAGGCGACAAGUAGAGCUGGGCCCUGGCGGGCUGCCACGGGGGUGUCUGGCAGUCUCUCCUGGGUCUAGGGCUGUUCCUCUGAGGUCACGAGGUGGUCCUUCGGGUGUGUCUGGGUUGGGAAGAUAAAACCAGCACGUGUAAUGUAAUACAUGACAAUGGAAGAUUCUACGUAAUUAAGGGUUAACUCUGAAAUCAGAAGACAAGUUUUCCAAGACUUGGGAAGGUGGAGAGAUCAGAGAUCAGUGAGAGAACAAAGAAUCGGGAGGUCACACGCCACCUGCGGAUGGAGGAGACACACGCAGACAAGACAGGCCCCCCGCCACUGUUGGCACACAGGACACCCACCCAGCCUAUGGUCCUGUCUGUGGUUGGACAACAUAAUCAGAAUAACAGGGUCCAGAUGUCAGGGAUGGAAGUUGGAGAAAGAUGAGGCAGCAGCAGACACUUUCUCCUGUUGGCCUUAAAGAAGCAACCGCCUGUGCUGGGAGAGGGUCACUGGGCUGAGAUUGGUAGGUGGCUCUGGGAGCUGAGGGCCUAAACCUAUGACCACAAGGAACUGAAUUCAUCCCAAAGCCAGAGAGGUGGAAGACGACUCAGAAGAUGCAGAUGCCAAUGCCACAUCCUGGUGAGCAGCUGGAUUGCAGCUGGACCCGCUAAACCAAGCCCCAGACUCCUGACCAGUGGGAGCUGCAAGAUAAUGAAUAUAGUUUUCUUGUUGUUUUUUGUUUUCUUUUUAAUAAGCAAUAUGACUUUAUUUAGUUACUUUGGAAACAAAAACCCCCAAAUAAUGCCUGAACCCAAAGGUACAUAAAAAUGGCCCAAAAUAGUUUAAAAUAGAUUUGAACAUCAUUUGUAGUUUCUUCCUCAUAACAUGAGCGCUUUCAGCUGGACAGUAGAUUACAAAGCAUCUCCGAUCAUGUUAAGGCAGAUCAUCAAUCUGUGGCUGCAUCUGUAACUCCUGCUGGGAAAAUAAUCCUGUUGGAGUUGGGGGCUCUUCCCAGUUGUUUGGCCAGUUGGCCCAGGAAGGGGCAGUCCUGGAGCUGACGGGUGGGUGAGGAGCCAGGCCCCACCUGUUUUUUGUUUUCUUACGACAGAGUCUUCCUCUGUUGCUCAGGCUGGAGUGCAGUGGCGCUAUCUCGGCUCACUGUAACCUCCACCUCCUGGGUUCAAGCGAUUCUCCUGCCUCAGCUUCCAGGAGAGCUGAGACUACAGGUGUGUGUCAUUACACUGGGC
RNAcentral lists this long non-coding RNA (1270 nucleotides) under Homo sapiens (human). RNAcentral's name for it is "non-protein coding lnc-MPPE1-1:4". The record is from RNAcentral. Lineage: Eukaryota; Metazoa; Chordata; Mammalia; Primates; Hominidae.